GCCAGUGUCAUUUUUUGUGAUGUUGCAGCUAGUAAUAUAAGCCAAGUUGCAUAGUCACAAAAGUGAUCAUUGGA
Molecule: non-coding RNA, 74 nt
Organism: Tetraodon nigroviridis (spotted green pufferfish)
Lineage: Eukaryota; Metazoa; Chordata; Actinopteri; Tetraodontiformes; Tetraodontidae
Source: Rfam